AUUGAACGCUGGCGGCAUGCUUUACACAUGCAAGUCGAACGGUAACAGGUCUUCGGAUGCUGGCGAGUGGCGAACGGGUGAGUAAUGCAUCGGAACGUGCCCAGUCGUGGGGGAUAACGCAGCGAAAGCUGUGCUAAUACCGCAUACGAUCUAUGGAUGAAAGCGGGGGACCGUAAGGCCUCGCGCGAUUGGAGCGGCCGAUGUCAGAUUAGGUAGUUGGUGGGGUAAAGGCCCACCAAGCCAACGAUCUGUAGCUGGUCUGAGAGGACGACCAGCCAAACUGGGACGGAGACACGGCCCAGACUCCUACGGGAGGCAGCAGUGGGGAAUUUUGGACAAUGGGCGCAAGCCUUAUCCAGCAAUGCCGCGUGCAGGAAGAAGGCCUUCGGGUUGUAAACUGCUUUUGUACGGAACGAAACGGUCUGGGUUAAUACCCUGGGCUAAUGACGGUACCGUAAGAAUAAGCACCGGCUAACUACGUGCCAGCCGCCGCGGUAA
This 498-nucleotide ribosomal RNA is filed under the name uncultured bacterium. RNAcentral describes it as "partial 16S ribosomal RNA". It matches the Rfam family "Bacterial small subunit ribosomal RNA", at positions 30 to 523 of the family's 1533-position model. The record is from RNAcentral.